RNAcentral lists this ribosomal RNA (427 nucleotides) under uncultured Methylotenera sp. Its description in RNAcentral is "bacterial SSU rRNA". It matches the Rfam family "Bacterial small subunit ribosomal RNA", at positions 355 to 774 of the family's 1533-position model. The record is from RNAcentral. Lineage: Bacteria; Pseudomonadati; Pseudomonadota; Betaproteobacteria; Nitrosomonadales; Methylophilaceae.
UGGGGAAUUUUGGACAAUGGGCGAAAGCCUGAUCCAGCCAUUCCGCGUGAGUGAAGAAGGCCUUCGGGUUGUAAAGCUCUUUCGCAAGGGAAGAAACGAUGCAGUCGAAUAAACUGUGUUAAUGACGGUACCUUGAUAAGAAGCACCGGCUAACUACGUGCCAGCAGCCGCGGUAAUACGUAGGGUGCGAGCGUUAAUCGGAAUUACUGGGCGUAAAGCGUGCGCAGGCGGUUUUGUAAGUCAGAUGUGAAAUCCCCGAGCUCAACUUGGGAACUGCGUUUGAAACUACAAGACUAGAAUAUGUCAGAGGGGGGUAGAAUUCCACGUGUAGCAGUGAAAUGCGUAGAGAUGUGGAGGAAUACCAAUGGCGAAGGCAGCCCCCUGGGAUAAUAUUGACGCUCAUGCACGAAAGCGUGGGGAGCAAACA